UUCGGCCAUAGUGGCGCACGGGUGAGUAACGCGUGGGAACCUGCCCAGCAGUGGGGAAUAACUUCGGGAAACCGGGGCUAAUACCGCAUACGCCCUUAGGGGGAAAGAUUUAUCGCUGUUGGAGGGGCCCGCGUCCGAUUAGUUUGUUGGUGGGGUAAUGGCCUACCAAGACUACGAUCGGUAGCUGGUCUGAGAGGAUGAUCAGCCACACUGGGACUGAGACACGGCCCAGACUCCUACGGGAGGCAGCAGUGGGGAAUAUUGGACAAUGGGCGCAAGCCUGAUCCAGCAAUGCCGCGUGAGUGAUGAAGGCCUUAGGGUUGUAAAGCUCUUUCGGCGGGGACGAUGAUGACGGUACCCGCAGAAGAAGCCCCGGCUAACUUCGUGCCAGCAGCCGCGGUAAUACGAAGGGGGCUAGCGUUGUUCGGAAUUACUGGGCGUAAAGAGCACGUAGGCGGUUCGUUAAA
RNAcentral lists this ribosomal RNA (467 nucleotides) under uncultured Magnetospirillum sp. RNAcentral describes it as "bacterial SSU rRNA". It matches the Rfam family "Bacterial small subunit ribosomal RNA", at positions 85 to 587 of the family's 1533-position model. The record is from RNAcentral. Lineage: Bacteria; Pseudomonadati; Pseudomonadota; Alphaproteobacteria; Rhodospirillales; Rhodospirillaceae.